UGGGGAAUUUUGGACAAUGGGCGAAAGCCUGAUCCAGCAAUGCCGCGUGUGUGAAGAAGGCCUUCGGGUUGUAAAGCACUUUUGUCCGGAAAGAAAUCCUUGGCUCUAAUACAGUCGGGGGAUGACGGUACCGGAAGAAUAAGCACCGGCUAACUACGUGCCAGCAGCCGCGGUAAUACGUAGGGUGCAAGCGUUAAUCGGAAUUACUGGGCGUAAAGCGUGCGCAGGCGGUUUGCUAAGACCGAUGUGAAAUCCCCGGGCUCAACCUGGGAACUGCAUUGGUGACUGGCAGGCUAGAGUAUGGCAGAGGGGGGUAGAAUUCCACGUGUAGCAGUGAAAUGCGUAGAGAUGUGGAAGAAUACCGAUGGCGAAGGCAGCCCCCUGGGCCAAUACUGACGCUCAUGCACGAAAGCGUGGGGAGCAAACAGGAUUAGAUACCCUGGUAGUCCACGCCCUAAACGAUGUCAACUAGUUGUUGGGGAUUCAUUUCCUUAGUAACGUAGCUAACGCGUGAAGUUGACCGCCUGGGGAGUACGGUCGCAAGAUUAAAACUCAAAGGAAUUGACGGGGUCAUAGCUGUUUCCU
Molecule: ribosomal RNA, 585 nt
Filed under: uncultured bacterium
Lineage: Bacteria
Description: partial 16S ribosomal RNA
Rfam family: Bacterial small subunit ribosomal RNA
Source: RNAcentral